GUGAGUGGAAAUGUGUGCCUCUUGCAAAUAGAAGCUUUAGAGCAGUAGCAUGGUUCCUUCAUUUUCUUUUUCCCUUUACUAUGAGAUCAUCAUGUUGUAGAUAGCGGCUGCCCUUUGGCCUGGCUCCAGAACAAAGAGUAUUUGGAGUAGAACUGAAGUUGACCCAUAAUGGACAAGAGAUAUGAGUGAGAAAUAAACAGUUGCUGUUGUAAGUCUCUGAGAUUUGCGGGUUGAUUGUUACUGUAAUAAAGCCUAGUGUAAGCUGAUUCAUAUGUCCACUUACAAAGUGUUCCAGUUACCCAUUGCUGCUGACAGUCCACCCCAAAAUUAGUGGCUUAAAAUAACAAUCAUUUAGUUUGCUUACAAAUCUGCAACUUAGGCAGGAUUGGAGGGUGGAGGGACUUGCAGACAGCUUCUCUCAGCUCCAUGAAUCAUUAACUAGUGCAGUUUAGUGGCUGAGGGCUGGAACCAUAAAAUCGCUCACUCUUCUCUCACUCACGCACUCACUCACUCACUCAUUCACGUGUCUGGUGGUUGAGUCUGGCUGUCACCUGGGAUCUCAGCUCGACUGUGGCCAGAACAUCAACGUGCAGUGGUCUCAUUUUGGCUGUUUAUCUUCCUCACAGCAUUGCGGAUGUGUCUUCACAGCAAGCACCCCAAAAGAAGCAAGCAGAAGCUCCGUCGCUUGUACGACGUAGCCUUAGAAGUCACAUAAGUCAUUUCUACGUAAUAGCUCAAAUCCUCAAAAAAAAUAGUCUGUUGGUCAGAGUUCUCCAGAGAAACAGAAUCAAUAGGAUACACAUAAUGAGAGAGAGAGUUUUAAGGAAGUGGCUCAUGCAGUUGUGGGGGCUGGCGUGUCUGAAACCUGCAGGGCAGGUAGGCAGGAAUCUAUGUCCCAGAUUUGAGUCUGACAGCAAUCUAGAGGCAGAAUUCUUUUAGAUUUAAGCCAGAUGUUGCAAAUUCCCCAGAAGAAAUACAGCUCUAACCACACAAGAGGGAUUAUCAGUUCUUUUUGUGGCUCAAAAACAACAAAAAAUCUGUUCACAGGCGUUAGUGAAAAGCAGCUAUUUUACAAAAAACUUCAUAGGCAGGUGGAGCAGCGGAGGUUUAUAAUGCACAUUUAACUGAAGAUACUCCAGUCACAAUAAAUAAAUCAAAUCAAUUUCAUGGGAAAGAAAAUAAAAUUCUUGCAGAAUGUAGAGGUAAGGGAAAAAGUGAUUUGAAAAGUUGAAAGGAGAAGAUAAAUAUUUGUCACUAAAAUAACCUUAGAGUUGUGGUUAAUAUACUCAGACAUUAAAUAAUAAUUUAUUUAAUUAUUUAUAUAAUAUAUAUUUUAUUACAUAUAAAUUAAUAAAUAUAUUUCUAUAUUUAAUAACUAAAUUUAUUUAAUCCAAUCAUUUAAUAAAACAACCUAGGUAGGAAUUACAGAGUAUCGUCUAACCAUAUCAUGUGACAAAUUUGAAAGAAGUUCAGAAAGAUAUGAGGAUAUACUUGAACCCAGAGUUUAGGGUUUUAAAGCUAAACCCAUAGGGUGAAUAUUAAUUUGGAAUCUUCCAUUGUCUUCAUAAUUAGUCAAAAAGAAUGUGUGUGUGUUGGGGGGAGGAGUGUUAGUGUUUCUGUCCGUGGCUCAAGGAGACUCACCUUGGAAUUGUGUAGUCCCCAGUUCUUCACACUGGUCCCAAACUUUUGACUGAUAAAUAACUGCACUAAAGUCAUCAAUUGUCAACCCAGAAAGUGCAGCUUGUGGAGAUGGUAACUUCAAUUCACCUUGAAGCACAGGAGGACACCAGCCCCACGCAGCUGGCAGCCCAGGGGUCAUACCUUCUAUCCUCACAUCAGCAGACCGAGACCUCUGCUCUGGAGCUUGGGCACCUUUGGGAGGCUGAGCUGGAGCCAGAAGUGGGACUGGAGCUACAACUGCAGCCUGGGUCUUGAUUUGAGCCUUGGCCUUGGCCUUUGGCCGGCAGAGCCUGAGACCCUUGGUGACGUAGGCAGAGCACACUUCCCGAGCUUCAGGUGGCUAAUGUAGGCAAGUUGAUUGAACUUGUGACAGACACCCUUUGGAUCAUGAACUUCACCUUGUUGGGCUCUAACAGGGCCUUGACAGCCUCAGCAUGCACACUCAUGGCCUUGAAGUUGUUGGCCUGCAUCUUCUUCAGACCCUUCUUCUGAGGGUUCUGGUUUUCUUAAUGCAAAUAAUUUUUUAUCCCUUGAAAAUUAAUUCUAAAGUAUAAAUUGAAUAUGUGAACUUACUACUUGUGUGUUGGGUUUUAGAAUAAGUUUUGUAAUCAGUAGACUAGCCUCCCAGCAUUUGAAUGUAAAGUGUUUGCAGUGUUUAAGAGAUUCUGACAAAUAAGCCUGCAUAGAUUCCUAAUAAAUUGUGUAAUUGAUUUUAGAGUUUUGGACUUAAGUUGAAAGUUGUAAAAUAAUUUGCCCAAGUAUUUAAACUGUCUUGGUAAUUUGUUUAAGGUAUUUUGAAAUUAACUAUGUUUUUAAGUUAAUUCAUUAGGCAUAUGAUUGUUUCAGUACUGGGGAAAAACUUGAUAGUUGGGGUUGCAAAUUUUAAAGUUUUUGUAAGAGAACUGAACAUAAUACUUAUAAAUGCACUUAAAUAUUUAAAUAACUUAAUUUACUGUUUGUAAAUAGUUUAAUAUGUUUGAAUUGAGGUUAUCAAACAUUAAUCAAAGGCUCUCCCAGAGGUAGUGGUUCUUAUUUUACGUAACAUGCACUUGGUUGAUAAAUUUACAAGACUGACAAAAGAUGGAAAGGCUUACAGUAAACUAGGUUUCUGAAUUUUUACUUUAGUAAAUGGAAUAUUAAUUUACAACCCAAGUAGCUUUAAGCAGCUUAUUUAAACUUGAAAUUCUCCCAUGAAGACAGAAAUUGACAUUGAUAAUCAGGAGACCAGAGACUAAAUUUCCAAUUUAACAAGUAUAAGAAUGAUUCCAAGUCAGAAACCAUUACAAUUGGAAUCAAAGUUACAUCACACAUGACUGAAUUAAACUCUCCCAAGUUGGAUAAAUAGUUGAAAUGUAGGGCUAGCCAUGUUCAGAAGUUUUUCUUCUAUUUCUGCUUUAUUCUCAGUGCUGAAAAUGUGUUUCUGGCACUACAUGCUUCAUUCCAUUCGUUGGUUAGAAUCCCUUACCGUUUUUUGAGUAUAACUUGUAAUAAUCCUCCUGGCGAUACUCUAUCAAGUAACUCUCUAUCAACAGUAGCUUAGCUCUAUACAUAACCUCAGGUACUGGUCUGUAUGAUUACAAAGAAGAGAUGUAUAAUUUUAAUUGCCGAAGAACUUGCAAAAUUAUUUUUAUAACAAAAAAGUUGUAUUGAUUUGAGUCAUGGAUCACCUUAUUUCCUUUUUUAAUUGUCAAGAAACUAAUAAAACAUUUAGAGAGAAAUAUUCUCCUUCAUCAAGGUCUUUUCUAUAUUGUGUCCCUUUGAAGACCAAAGAAUGUGUUAAGUAAGCUUAAAUUAUCAGUAAUAUCUUUAAAUAUGCAUAUAAAAAAUAUAUGGUAAUGUGCUAAAAUGUUAACUCUGAGUAGAAUAUUCUGUGUAAUUUAGCUUUUUAUGCAUUUUGUAUUAUUGUUGAAAUUAUCUCAUAAAUGUAUAUUUUCAUAAUCUGAACAAAUUAACAUUUAAAAAAUUGAUG
This 3649-nucleotide long non-coding RNA is filed under the name Equus asinus (donkey). RNAcentral's name for it is "lncRNA (ENSEASG00005037697.1)". The record is from RNAcentral. Lineage: Eukaryota; Metazoa; Chordata; Mammalia; Perissodactyla; Equidae.